Molecule: ribosomal RNA, 1392 nt
Filed under: Microbacterium sp.
Lineage: Bacteria; Bacillati; Actinomycetota; Actinomycetes; Micrococcales; Microbacteriaceae
Description: bacterial SSU rRNA
Rfam family: Bacterial small subunit ribosomal RNA
Source: RNAcentral
AUGCAAGUCGAACGAUGAACUGGGUGCUUGCACCUGGGGAUUAGUGGCGAACGGGUGAGUAACACGUGAGCAACCUGCCCCUGACUCUGGGAUAAGCGCUGGAAACGGCGUCUAAUACUGGAUACGAACAAGAAUCGCAUGGUUACUUGUUGGAAAGAUUUUUUGGUUGGGGAUGGGCUCGCGGCCUAUCAGCUUGUUGGUGAGGUAAUGGCUCACCAAGGCGUCGACGGGUAGCCGGCCUGAGAGGGUGACCGGCCACACUGGGACUGAGACACGGCCCAGACUCCUACGGGAGGCAGCAGUGGGGAAUAUUGCACAAUGGGCGGAAGCCUGAUGCAGCAACGCCGCGUGAGGGAUGACGGCCUUCGGGUUGUAAACCUCUUUUAGCAGGGAAGAAGCGAAAGUGACGGUACCUGCAGAAAAAGCGCCGGCUAACUACGUGCCAGCAGCCGCGGUAAUACGUAGGGCGCAAGCGUUAUCCGGAAUUAUUGGGCGUAAAGAGCUCGUAGGCGGUUUGUCGCGUCUGCUGUGAAAUCCCGAGGCUCAACUUCGGGUCUGCAGUGGGUACGGGCAGACUAGAGUGCGGUAGGGGAGAUUGGAAUUCCUGGUGUAGCGGUGGAAUGCGCAGAUAUCAGGAGGAACACCGAUGGCGAAGGCAGAUCUCUGGGCCGUAACUGACGCUGAGGAGCGAAAGGGUGGGGAGCAAACAGGCUUAGAUACCCUGGUAGUCCACCCCGUAAACGUUGGGAACUAGUUGUGGGGUCCAUUCCACGGAUUCCGUGACGCAGCUAACGCAUUAAGUUCCCCGCCUGGGGAGUACGGCCGCAAGGCUAAAACUCAAAGGAAUUGACGGGGACCCGCACAAGCGGCGGAGCAUGCGGAUUAAUUCGAUGCAACGCGAAGAACCUUACCAAGGCUUGACAUAUACGAGAACGGGCCAGAAAUGGUCAACUCUUUGGACACUCGUAAACAGGUGGUGCAUGGUUGUCGUCAGCUCGUGUCGUGAGAUGUUGGGUUAAGUCCCGCAACGAGCGCAACCCUCGUUCUAUGUUGCCAGCACGUAAUGGUGGGAACUCAUGGGAUACUGCCGGGGUCAACUCGGAGGAAGGUGGGGAUGACGUCAAAUCAUCAUGCCCCUUAUGUCUUGGGCUUCACGCAUGCUACAAUGGCCGGUACAAAGGGCUGCAAUACCGUGAGGUGGAGCGAAUCCCAAAAAGCCGGUCCCAGUUCGGAUUGAGGUCUGCAACUCGACCUCAUGAAGUCGGAGUCGCUAGUAAUCGCAGAUCAGCAACGCUGCGGUGAAUACGUUCCCGGGUCUUGUACACACCGCCCGUCAAGUCAUGAAAGUCGGUAACACCUGAAGCCGGUGGCCUAACCCUUGUGGAGGGAGCC